This is a long non-coding RNA of Ornithodoros turicata, 257 nucleotides long. RefSeq lists it as uncharacterized. NCBI's taxonomy places the organism in Eukaryota, Metazoa, Arthropoda, Arachnida, Ixodida, Argasidae. The record is from RefSeq and is a predicted model, not a curated record. The transcript has 5 exons.
CUGAAGUGUACCAGCCAGCAAAAAAGAGAAUGCAGCUGCCACCGCCACCAAAAAGUGUCAUUGAAGUUCCAACACCUCCUUCAGCAGAAGGAUCUCAAGGUUCCUCAUGCAGUAGCCAGGAUACACCAUCUCCAGUGCACCGAUCCCAAGGUCGCUCAUGCAGCAGUAAGGAUGUGCCAUCCAUAGAUCACUUGCAAAGCCCUCGCGCCCGGUCACCAUACACGAGUCAUGGAAGCAGCCAGGAAGCUCGGUCUCCA